GGUAGUCCAUCUGGAAGGGGACAGACUAGGGUGGGGUGGUGGUUUUGGGUUUGGGUCUUUUUUUUUUUUUUUUGGAAUCACACAAUCACUGCCAUACAAGCAAGCAUGUUUGAUUUUAGUGGGGGUUUAAACAAGAAAACCCCUGCCAGGGUAAGUUGUUAAAACAUAAAAAUGUUUCCAUUUGGCUUGAAACAUGUUUUUGGUUUUGGUAGUGCUUGAAUGGACCUAGUGAUGUUGGCUCUACACCACCUCCUUGUAUAUGCCCCCCAGGAAAACAAGGACCACCAGGUCCCAAAGGUGAUCCUGGACAACCUGGGAACCAUGGCUAUCCUGGAGAACCUGGUCCAGAUGGUAAGCCUGGCCACCAAGGGAGAGCUGGAACUCCAGGUAUUCCAGGACCCCCAGGGAUUCAAGUAAGUUUGCCACCCCUUUUUUGCAGUACAAAGAUCUAAUGCUUACACACUAAUCCUU
This 471-nucleotide long non-coding RNA is filed under the name Varanus komodoensis (Komodo dragon). RNAcentral's name for it is "lncRNA (ENSVKKG00000000899.1)". Lineage: Eukaryota; Metazoa; Chordata; Lepidosauria; Squamata; Varanidae. The record is from RNAcentral.